CGCAAUUGUGUUGCUGCGGUUGUCAAUACGAUAGUGUCGAGUAACAUAAUUCAAGUAAACUUAGAAAUAUAAAAUCUUAAAGUGGCAGUCAUGGGCUGAAGGAGAUGGUUUCACUGGCGUACGUGAUACUGAUAUUGAUGCGGCACCAGUGUGUAAAGUAAUUGAGCUAAGUUAUGGUUAUGGAAGUAGAUGAUAAAGCAGACUCAGAUGGCGAUUGUACCAAUGAUAUUAUAUUUAAAUACAAAGGAACAUCAGAGAGAUGCAGCCGCAUCAAAUGUGAACAGAGGUCUCGUGGUACCAAGUUGUAUGCUAGUAGCAUGGAAAAUAUGCCCGGAUGUUCAUUUGAUUCCUUAAAAGAUAUUAGUGCAAGAAUCUCACAUACUCAUAGCAAGAAAGUAAUUAAGCAUGCUUUGCGUCAGCAAGCUAGAAGGCGCAGGAAGAAUACUACAAUCAAUGCAGCUAAAGGCAAUUGCAUAGCCUCCAAACCUUCAACAAUGCGUGAAGUCUUGGCCUCUAUACCUGGAUUUAGUAUAAAACCAAGAAAAAGGUCAAAUAAGAAACUUUCUGCAGCUGCACAGUUGGAACAAACUAAGGAAGGCUGUAUUGAUCUUGAAACACCAGAUUCUAUCCUUGUGAAUACCAAUUUGAGAGCUCUUUUGAAUAAGCAUACAUUUUCUAGUUUACCUCCACUGUAUCAGCGCAAGCUUGUUCAACUUCUCCCAGAUGUUGACAGAGCUAGCAUAUCUACACAGUCUGAUAAUUCAUUAAGAUUGAAUUCUUCUGGUUUAAAUAAUGAAUUUUUUGCUCGAGCAUGUCUUGAGUGGCGAGAAAGGUUAGCUGAAGGUGAAUUUACUCCAGAGAACCAACAAAGACUGAAAGCAGAAGCGGAGAAAGAAAUGAGCCGUCUCGAUCCGUGGAAGCUUAAACACUUUGAACCUAUUUGGGGUGAAAAGCAAGAUGCGAGAUCGGAAAAUAUACCUCUUAUGCUUCCGAGUCCAGUAAGACCACCAUUGAAAACAACUAUAAAGCUAAGGCCAUCAACAUCAGUUGGUGGAGGACGUCACAGUAAACCUGUACAGACAUGUGCAAGGCGAUUAAGAACAGUUGGUGCAGUUACGAGAGCAAUUGCAAGCUACAGGGAAGAGGUGGAUAGUGCUGUAGCUUGUAAAGUAGCAGAUUUGGCAGUAACCAGUAGCACAGAGAAGAGGAGCCUCGAAAGUCCGGAAUGCUACUCUCAACGGACCUCAAAGAAGUUGAGAGCCUUGAGUCCACAGGAGUCAAAGAGUGAUAUUAGCUUUAAUGAAGCUGCUCCAGCCAGUGUAUCAUGUGAAACUGAUACUCCUGAAAGCAAUUUGGAACUGGAUCGUCCUAAAAGUAGCGCUGAGGAAUUUGAAGAUAAUGAAGAAAAACUUGGUGUGCUCAAUGAACUGAGUUUUAACAAUGAAGUAGCACCAUGUGAUGUUCCAGAACAUGAAACACUAUCCGGUGAAUGCAUUGAUGUGGCAGGUGAAACUGUUGAUGUUCUGACAUCUGACAAAGAUGUGUUUCUUAAAGAAUCCGUAGAUUGUGACAGCCAGAGUACUACAGAAAGCAAAGAACAACACAGUAAUCAGUACCUGACGGCUAUGGAGUGUGAAGAAAAUGAUGUUCCAGAAGUUGUUGAUACAAAGUUGUCUGAGAAUGAAAUCCAAGAAAUAGUUGGUGGUUCAUCAGAUGUUCAUAUGCAACAAGAAAGUGAAAUAAAAAUUGAAGAAUGCACAGUCAAGAAUAUUGCUAGUGGAACUGUGAGCUUAACUGAGAUGCCAAUUGAAAUUAAAGUCAGUAAUGAACAUAUAGAUCUACUUGUUGAAUUUAGUGAAGUUAAAAGUGAAAGCAGAGAGGAGGUUAGCAGUGGAACCAGAGAGGUUAGCAGUAGAAGCAGGGAGGUGAUUACCAAUGGGAGUGUAGAUGAGGUUAGCAGUGGAAGCAGAGAGGAGGUUAGCAGUGAUGAGGUUAGCAGUGGAAGCAGGGAGGAGGUUAACAUUGUAAGCAGAGAGGAAAUUAGCUGUGGAAGCAGAGAGGAGGUUAGCAGGGGUCAGGUUGGCUCUGUUAGCCAAGAUGAGGUUGGCUCUAUUACCAGAGAUGAGGUUGACUCCAUUAGUGGAGAUGAGGUUGGCUCUGUUAGUGGUGAUGAUUCUGGCUCCGUUAGCAGAGUUGAGGUCAGCUUUGCUAGCAGAGUUGACGUUGGCUCUGGUAGCAGAGUUGACGUUGGCUCUGGUAGCAGGGUUGACGUUGGCUCUGGUAGCAGGGUUGACGUUGGCUCUGGUAGCAGGGUUGACGUUGGCUCUGGUAGCAGAGUUGACGUUGGCUCUGGUAGCAGGGUUGACGUUGGCUCUGGUAGCAGGGUUGACGUUGGCUCUGGUAGCAGGGGUGACGUUGGCGCUGGUAGCACGGCUGACGUUGGCUCUGGUAGCAGGGCUGAUGUUGGCUCUGGUAGCAGGGCUGAAGUUGGCUCUGGUAGCAGGGUUGACGUUGGCUCUGGUAGCAGGGCUGACGUUGGCUCUGGUAGCAGGGCUGACGUUGGCUCUGCUGGCAGGGCUGACGUUGGCUCUGAAAGUAGGGAUGAGGUCAGCACUUUAAGCAGAGAUGAGAUUAGCGCUGUAAGCAGAGAGGAGUUUAAUACUAUAAGCAGAGAUGAAGUUGAAAGUGAAAGUAAAGAGGACAUUAAAAGUGAAAACAAAGGAGAAUUAUUUAGUGAUAGUCAUCUUUUCAGUGAGUUUGGACCAAGUUUUAAGUGUGAUGAACAGGAUACUAAAUAUGAUAUUAAAGACAAUAAGUUAGAUGUUAGUACGGACGUUCCUCUGGAAUUGGAGUCUCAAAUUUCUGUUGAGUGUGAGAUGUGUGAUGAUAUCGUAAAAAGUGAAGAAUGUGACAGUCAAAAUUUGACAGACUCGAAAACGAAUGUGAUGAUUGAGCUUGUUACAAGAAGUGAGUUUUCUGUUGAGAAAUGUGAAGCAGACAAUACUAACAGAGGAAUUAUUGACUCUGAAAUGGAAAUGGUAACUGUGAAUAGUGCUGUAACAUUAGGGGAUAUAAAAGAAGAAUUGAAAGAAGUGGACAUUGCUAAUAAUGUGACCUCGCAGACAUCUGAUAGUGUUCCUUAUGAUCAGAACUGUGUUUCCCAUGCUGGAACUGACAGUAGUGAAUUGUUCGGUAGCUCAGGUGUUGUCACCAAAGUUGAAGUAACUGCCAGCCUUGAGGAAAGUGCGUGUGUACCAGGAAAACCAUUGCACGCUGUGACUGUUGAACCCACAAGCUCUGAACCAGAUAUGAACAAAGUGGAAGAUGAUGACGAUGACGAUGACGAUGAUGAGGACGACGAUGAUGACGACGAUGAAGAGGAUGAUGAUGAGGAGGAGGAGGAGGAGGAGGAAGAUGAAGAUGACGAUGACGAUGAUGCAGAAGAUGAUGUUGAAGAAAAUCAGACAGCCCUUUUUGCCACAACUGUUUCUAGUGGAGAUGGCUGUUGCUGGGAUGUUGAUUCAAGUACAGAGGUGCCUAUUGUUGCGUUGGAGGCAGUCCCAGUUCCUGUUCCUGUAGCAUUAAGGGUAAUUGAAGAUGGAGAAGCUGCUGAUGAAGUAGAAGUAAUUCCAAUGCAGGAGGAGCUGGAAGUGAGGUUAGAGGAAGGAACAUUUCCUGUUGCUUCUGAGGACGGCCUAUCAGUGGACUGGCCGUAUGCCGUAAAGAUGGAUCCAUCUAUGGUAGCAGUAACAUCGGACCAGGAGGGGCUGAAUAAAUCUGUGCAGUCACAGUAUGCUGACUAUCCAACAAGUCAAGGUGUAAAACUGGAAUUAGAAGUGACGUUGACACCAGAGACUGUUACAAAUGCAGAAUCUAUGGUGACAAGCAGUGUGGGUGGUUUGCCCCAAAAUGCUUCUGCAGCGUUACCUACUCCAACAGUGUCAAAGACUAACAUUGCAACUGUUAUCCCACCGACUACGAUUGUAUGCCUUCCAUCUGUGGUAUCAGCACCGAAUCUGAUGAAUCAGCAUACAAGCCAGCUGACCGGUUGUGUCAGUGUCCCAUCAAAUGGAAUUAUCAAUUCUAACCUACCAAAGACUGCUGCUGUGGCAAGCUCGAGUGCUGUGCCAUACCUUGCCUUAAGCAGCACUACUCCUGUGCGAGCUUUGCCAACACAUAUACCAAAGAGCCAAAUGAAAAGCAAACCAGUCCGAGAAACUUCACAGGUAUCUUCCGGAGGGCAGAGUGGUGGAGGACGAAGCUCUCGGGGCUCUUCGAAUAAGCCACCACCUGGUGCAGUUAAUCUAGAACGAAGCUAUCAAAUAUGUCAAGCUGUCAUACAGAACAGCCCAAAUCGAGACCAGUUACGUUGUCAGUUGAAGCCACCUCCAUCUUUGUUGGCUGCUAACUCGAACACUACAGGUGUCGGUGCUACAAAAAAAUCAGAAACUCCUGGUAGUGCUCGAGCUGCUACCCAGUAUGGUGUGGUUACUUCUUCACGAAAUGGAAAUGGACAAACUAAUAAUUCCACUAACACCAAGGCAUUUACCUCCCCUUUGCCGGCCUCUGGAAAUUUUUCUGUAUUGCCUAAUAAUGGAAAUGUAAACAACAGCGUUGGUGUGUCAAAGCCAGUAUCCGUAACUUCCAUUGGUGGCCAAAACAAAGUGACCAGUUCAAAGGGAGGCUCCUAUCAUCAGAGACAGCAGUCACCACCUGUAUUGGUUCGUCAUGUUUUUACAUCCCCUCAAGGGAUUCCAGUUACAAUGGCUGUCUUACCACAAUCACAAGCUCCUCCUGUACCUGAGUGGUUUUUCUAACUUCUUUUCCCGAGUAUCGUCAGUGCAGUGCAGUGGAUCGGAAGUAUCAUUUAGCAUGAUAGUGGAAAGUCCUGGACCACAAGUUGGACAUGUUGGUCAAUACAUUUUAGUACAGAGAGCAGGUGUGGAUCAGC
Molecule: unclassified non-coding RNA, 4951 nt
Filed under: Schistocerca americana (American grasshopper)
Lineage: Eukaryota; Metazoa; Arthropoda; Insecta; Orthoptera; Acrididae
Description: uncharacterized LOC124594946, transcript variant X6
Source: RNAcentral